Non-coding RNA from Misgurnus anguillicaudatus (oriental weatherfish), 2533 nucleotides. Lineage: Eukaryota; Metazoa; Chordata; Actinopteri; Cypriniformes; Cobitidae. The record is from RefSeq and is a predicted model, not a curated record.
CCUCAGACUCAAGUGUGUCUGCAACAGAGCGGUUCCCAAGCAAAACAGACGGAGCAAAGACACAAUGAAAAUAUGAUUCAUUAAGACUGUGGUGUUUAUUUUCAUAAAUCAACAUUCAUCUAAUUUAUACAUUAACAUUUAUACCGUGCAACUGUUGACGUGUGGAUCAAAUAUGCUUGGAAGCAUGCUUAACACUUUCCCUGCCAGCGUUUUUUAAAAGAGUUGCCACCCAGCUUUAGUUAAACAUUAAUGCCUUCCAGAAAAAUGUUCUUCUUUAGAUAUAUAAACAUACAAUAUAUCAAAUGAAAGAACAGACCCUCUGCUUUCAAACAACAAAAUAAAAACGUUUCACCCUACCUUCAAUUGUUCUUUUAUCCUCUCAAAUUUUGAGCAAAAUGUUGGGAUAAUUCCAUUUCUGUGAAUGACUUUUGUUAGAGAUCCGAUUCAGAUCGCUGAUCAAAAAAUACACUUGAGUUUUAAAGUGUUGAGUGAAAGCAUCAGUGUUUAUGUUGUGUAAGAUCGCCACCACUGAUCAGUGAUCGCCACCCAGUGGAUAAUAUACGGUACAACUACUCCUCACGGAAGCAUUAACAAGAAAACUCAACAAUAUUUAUUGACACUUAUCUGGAUAUCGCCAUUAAUUGUUCAAUUGUUGAGGAUUAUAAUUAAUACAAUAUAAUAUAAUUAGCCCACCCAAUAAAUCAAAAUUGACAACAAAAUCCGACAUUUUGACAGUUAUUUUCUACAGUACACAACAACAGUGGCGCAGUGAUACAAGCUAUGUAAUACGGUUUGAGCCGUGGGUUUACCGGUGAGUUUUAUCACAGCUGAGAACGCGUUUCAACCAAUCAGAAUGAAGAACCAGAACUGGCCGUUUUAUAAUUAUUUAUAUAGAAUAGCAAUUCACUGCGUAUGUCUAGAUAUGUAUUCUAUGUCAUGAGUCUGUCUAUGAUGUUAGAGGGUAUGUUUUGUUAAUUGUGGUAUUUCCUGUUGUUAGUGUAAACAGGAGUUUGUGUUGAUUUCUUUCAUUGCUGUGAUGUCUGACUUAUGUUAAUUCAUAGUUAAAUGUUUUGUUGUGUCAUUAAGCACUGUUGGUGACCUGGUAAGGGACUACAGGUGUAAAAUAGCAUGGGGGCUAAUUCUGGCAUAUUCAUAUGGCUGAAAAGCUAUUAUGUUUCCUUAAUAUUUAUUGUCCCUUUUAAAUAAAUAAAAAUAAAUUUAAAAAAAACUGGUGAGAUGUUUACAGAUUAUUUCCAGAUAUAAAGUUGAUGGUUUUGUACUUUUGGUUGGGGAGAUCCAUCAUUCCAUCCAUCCGUAUAGCUAAGAAUCCUUGACAAUUCAUUUAAGAAUUUUAACAACAGUUAAAAAUUGUGCCAUUACAACAAAUGAUACAUGUACAUGACUUUAUAUAAACAUCCAGUAAUAAACAACUGUCUGAAGUGUUACUGUAAGUGGUAGCUUCAACUAGACAAAAGACAUCCCUUGUGUUGUUAUGCUCAUGGCAAGCUGUCUGACAGAGGUCAUGUCUGCAGCAGACUCCAUCUCUGUCACAGAGAUGCUCUGUGACAUAAGUCAAAAAAGCAAAGAAAAACAAAACAAACUCUGACAAAUAGAAGAGAGACGUUUGCUGUGUUCACUGCUGAGGCUAUGUGAGCAUUUUUAGUGACAAGAGCCAGACUGGUUUAGAAAAUCAACAGAAGGAAAGCAGACAGAAUGGAGCUCCCUUUUAGAAACAGUAGCCGUGUUUGCACUAUCGGGCUUCAAGCGGGCGUGCCAGUGCCUGCCGAGGCCUGUGGCGUUUGCAUUGUCACUUCCGGGGCAUGAUCGUGCUUCACUGGUGCUUCGUUGGGGCUUAAGGCCCGGCUUUUCUGGCCCGCCGAAUUCCUUGGGCCAGAGCGGGCUUCUCGGGGCUAGGGGAGUGGUAAAGGUCAAAGGCGGAGUUUAUCUGAGUCUCUGGCAAGAUGCGCAUCCAUCUGUCUGCAGAUUUAAAACUUUAAAAAUAAUCGGGAUCACCAGUAAUUUACUGUUUAACGGAAGAUGCCUGCUAUGUUUGUACUUCGGACUGAAGAAAAUGAUCUGCAUAUGUAAAAAACAAAGACGCGUUACAACGCCGAACUCGCCACGCUAAGGAUCCGGCGCACACAGCUACCGGUUCGGGAGAAGUUUAUAAAGUUUCGGGCACAGAACAAAGUGUUUAAAGUGCAACAGUGCUGAGAAAUUAAAGAUGUGUGUUGGAUCAUCAUUUCAUCGUCCAUGUUUUAAAGAAGCGAUCACUCGAGUCACGAUGGUAUCUACAGUCGAAAAAAUGCCAACGUAAAGCUUUCAGUUUGUCAUCCAGGAGUUUUUAUUUUGUAUAUGAGAGAUGACACAGCAACAGAUGAAAGAGCAGGAGAUGAAACGAAGAUGAUGAUGAUGAUGAUGAGACGACAGGAGCCAUGGAUGUUGAAAUCCGUCCGGAGAAGAUGUCUUUAAAUACACCUGUUUGUGCACUGAUAUAAACUUCAUAUGUAAAUAAAGUACCGCGCUAUUAUUA